Molecule: ribosomal RNA, 253 nt
Filed under: uncultured bacterium
Lineage: Bacteria
Description: partial 16S ribosomal RNA
Rfam family: Bacterial small subunit ribosomal RNA
Source: RNAcentral
UACGUAGGGUGCGAGCGUUGUCCGGAAUCACUGGGCAUAAAGCGCACGUAGGCGGCCAAGUCAGUCAGGUGUGAAAUACCUCGGCUCAACCGAGGAACUGCGCCUGAUACUGCUUGGCUUGAGGUCCGGAGGGGAGAGUGGAAUUCCCGGUGGAGCGGUGAAAUGCGUAGAGAUCGGGAAGAACGCCGGCGGCGAAAGCGACUCUCUGGUCGGAAUCUGACGCUGAGGUGCGAAAGCUAGGGGAGCAAACGGG